AACGAACGCUGGCGGCAGGCUUAACACAUGCAAGUCGAGCGCCCCGCAAGGGGAGCGGCAGACGGGUGAGUAACGCGUGGGAAUCUACCCAUCCCUACGGAACAACUCCGGGAAACUGGAGCUAAUACCGUAUACGCCCUUAGGGGGAAAGAUUUAUCGGGGAUGGAUGAGCCCGCGUUGGAUUAGCUAGUUGGUGGGGUAAUGGCCUACCAAGGCAACGAUCCAUAGCUGGUCUGAGAGGAUGAUCAGCCACACUGGGACUGAGACACGGCCCAGACUCCUACGGGAGGCAGCAGUGGGGAAUAUUGGACAA
RNAcentral lists this ribosomal RNA (313 nucleotides) under uncultured bacterium. RNAcentral describes it as "bacterial SSU rRNA". It matches the Rfam family "Bacterial small subunit ribosomal RNA", at positions 29 to 371 of the family's 1533-position model. The record is from RNAcentral.